AUGUCGACGCCGGCGAGGAAGCGCCUGAUGCGCGACUUCAAGCGCCUGCAGCAGGACCCGCCCGCCGGCAUCAGCGGCGCGCCGCACGACAACAACAUCACCCUCUGGAACGCCGUCAUAUUUGGGCCGGAUGACACGCCGUGGGAUGGAGGUACGUUCAAGCUGACCCUGCAAUUCACAGAAGAUUACCCCAACAAGCCACCAACUGUUCGGUUUGUCUCAAGGAUGUUUCACCCAAACAUUUAUGCAGAUGGAAGCAUCUGCUUGGAUAUCCUACAGAACCAGUGGAGCCCUAUAUAUGAUGUUGCGGCGAUAUUGACCUCUAUCCAGUCCCUGCUGUGCGACCCGAACCCGAAUUCUCCUGCGAACUCUGAAGCAGCCAGAAUGUACAGCGAGAACAAGCGCGAGUACAACCGCAAGGUUCGUGAGGUCGUGGAGCAGAGCUGGACAGCGGACUAG
Molecule: ribosomal RNA, 459 nt
Filed under: Triticum aestivum (bread wheat)
Lineage: Eukaryota; Viridiplantae; Streptophyta; Magnoliopsida; Poales; Poaceae
Description: partial small subunit ribosomal RNA
Source: RNAcentral